CAAUAGGAACCUGGGUCAGAGCUAAGUUAAACUCAGUACUCCCUCCUACCAGAGGCUGAUAGUCAAUGACGGGCAAUUUUCUCUUGAUAGCUUCCAGCCUAUGGGGAAACCCCAGGUAUCUGGAUUUAAAGGAGAGAAUGGGAAUUGACUGAUAGAAAUGAUUGAGAUGCUUAAGGAAAAACUUGACAGAGACACAGAAGAGAACCUCCUAUCAAUAACAGUGGAUCCCUGAACCAAUUGGUAGACAAGAAAAUAGAAGUUAGAGAAGAUUCAGACUCGGGGAGAUCACUGAGGACCUGCCUAACUGCCACUGCCACUGCCUCCGCUGUCACCUCCUCCCCCCUCCAGCAAGACCAGGAGAUCGAGAGCAUGCUCAUGUCCCUUGCCUCUGCUGGACCUCCACACUGCUACCGCUGCCGACAUGUUUGCCGCCAUGUUUCUUCAC
Peromyscus eremicus (cactus mouse) is the source of this 445-nucleotide long non-coding RNA. RefSeq lists it as uncharacterized. The record is from RefSeq and is a predicted model, not a curated record. The transcript is spliced from 3 exons. Lineage: Eukaryota; Metazoa; Chordata; Mammalia; Rodentia; Cricetidae.